UGCAAUGCAUGUACUAACUAAUACUCCAUAUAUAUUUAGUCAAACAUAUUUCGAACACCAAAAUUUAAAUUGUUGCAUGUGGUGAAACAACAUAGCUCCGUGUCAAAAUGCAAAAAACAAAACUAAUUUCAAACAUCAAACUCCAAUAAUGGGAACAAUCCAAAGUUGCCAAGUGUUCAUCUCUUGAUCAAACAGUGUCACCUUCCAUAAGAUUUACAUUGCAAACCUGGUAGACAAAUAAAAGAAAUCAAUAUCACAAGGGAUCAAUCUUCAGAACAAUUAAAUCUUCAUCAUAAAAAACACUUAAAUCUUGUUCGGCUCUAUGGACCACUGUAGUGAAGCGGCAAAUUAUAGAUAAUACAACAACCGUAUCAUUUUUUCUGAUGGAAAAAGACAAACCUAUUAUUAUCAUCAUCCAAAGUGUUUGCAAUGUCAGAUGGUUAAGGACGAACAACAUUACAACAUUGGCAAGCUGACCUCAGGGUGAUCCAUCUUUUUUCAUGCCCAUAUUGGUCAUUUUCACUACACAGGAAGUAUAUUGGAUUCCUUCCCGCAAAAAAAAGUCUAUUGGAUUCCUGAAGAGCAAACACAACAAUUACUUCAUCUUCAUAGGGCCACUGGGUCCUCAAAUAAUACAACUUAUACCCUGGCAUCUUUUCUUUUAUACUCCCUCCAUCUUAAAAUGUAAGACGUUUUUUAACACUAUAAAACAUCUUACAUUUUGACACAGAGGGAGUAAGGGAGUAUCUCUUAUGCAGCUACGCUACCAGUUCAGUCUAACUAAAUCUGGUCAAUUACACAAUAUGUAAAAAUAUGGCAAAAGAGCACAUACCUUCAGAUAUUUGCCAGCCAGCUUCAGCCACUAACCUCACCAAGACUGCU
Molecule: long non-coding RNA, 882 nt
Filed under: Triticum aestivum (bread wheat)
Lineage: Eukaryota; Viridiplantae; Streptophyta; Magnoliopsida; Poales; Poaceae
Description: long non-coding RNA (TAES_LNC007554)
Source: RNAcentral